UCCCUGUGAUGAACAUUUUAGUAAUCUAAGCACACAUUCAAUUGGUGCUCCCUCUUCAGCAUUGUGCUGUGGGGUUGAAGGAACCAAUGAUUCCCUGUGCACUGUUGAGAUAUGGCAUUCUGAGGGAU
Brachypodium distachyon (stiff brome) is the source of this 128-nucleotide non-coding RNA. The record is from Rfam. Lineage: Eukaryota; Viridiplantae; Streptophyta; Magnoliopsida; Poales; Poaceae.